GACGAACGCUGGCGGCGUGCUUAACACAUGCAAGUCGAACGGAAAGGCCCUGCUUGUGUGGGGUGCUCGAGUGGCGAACGGGUGAGUAACACGUGAGUAACCUGCCCUUGACUUUGGGAUAACUUCAGGAAACUGGGGCUAAUACCGGAUAGGAGCUCCUGCUGCAUGGUGGGGGUUGGAAAGUUUCGGCGGUUGGGGAUGGACUCGCGGCUUAUCAGCUUGUUGGUGGGGUAGUGGCUUACCAAGGCGUUGACGGGUAGCCGGCCUGAGAGGGUGACCGGCCACAUUGGGACUGAGAUACGGCCCAGACUCCUACGGGAGGCAGCAGUGGGGAAUAUUGCACAAUGGGCGGAAGCCUGAUGCAGCAACGCCGCGUGCGGGAUGACGGCCUUCGGGUUGUAAACCGCUUUCGCCUGUGACGAAGCGUGAGUGACGGUAAUGGGUAAAGAAGCACCGGCUAACUACGUG
RNAcentral lists this ribosomal RNA (468 nucleotides) under uncultured bacterium. Its description in RNAcentral is "partial 16S ribosomal RNA". It matches the Rfam family "Bacterial small subunit ribosomal RNA", at positions 28 to 507 of the family's 1533-position model. The record is from RNAcentral.